Balaenoptera acutorostrata (minke whale) is the source of this 338-nucleotide long non-coding RNA. RefSeq lists it as uncharacterized. The transcript is spliced from 3 exons. NCBI's taxonomy places the organism in Eukaryota, Metazoa, Chordata, Mammalia, Artiodactyla, Balaenopteridae. The record is from RefSeq and is a predicted model, not a curated record.
GGAAGCUGAAAGAGGGCAAAGUCUGAGAAAAGAGGCAACAGGAAGAGUUCGAGGACAGAGUUGAAGGCAAGCAGUGGCCCAAAUACGACUUCUAAUGGCCACCUGUGUUCCUCGGCUCAAGGCCCUUCCUCCGUCUGCAACAUGCUUCACUCCAAUCUCUGCCUCUAUCAUCACACCAUCUUCUUCCCUCGGACUCUUCUGCCUCUCUCUUUAAGGAUCCUUCACCAGUCAAGUGCCUGACACAUCGUGGUGCUCAAAAAUUGUUGGUUGAACUCAGCAACUGGGCGAUCAUGAUUCGGCUGCCAUUUCCUUCGCCAGAGUUAAUUCUAGAUCACUGA